RNAcentral lists this ribosomal RNA (430 nucleotides) under Bacteroidota bacterium. RNAcentral's name for it is "Bacteroidetes bacterium partial 16S ribosomal RNA". It matches the Rfam family "Bacterial small subunit ribosomal RNA", at positions 355 to 776 of the family's 1533-position model. The record is from RNAcentral. Lineage: Bacteria; Pseudomonadati; Bacteroidota.
UAGGGAAUCUUCGGCAAUGGGGGGAACCCUGACCGAGCAACGCCGCGUGAGUGAAGAAGGUUUUCGGAUCGUAAAGCCCUGUUGUUAAGGAAGAACGAGUGUGAGAAUGGAAAGUUCAUGCUGUGACGGUACCUAAUCAGAAAGCCACGGCUAACUACGUGCCAGCAGCCGCGGUAAUACGUAGGUGGCAAGCGUUAUCCGGAAUUAUUGGGCGUAAAGCGCGCGUAGGCGGUUUUUUAAGUCUGAUGUGAAAGCCCACGGCUCAACCGUGGAGGGUCAUUGGAAACUGGAAGACUUGAGUGCAGAAGAGGAAAGGGGAAUUCCAUGUGGAGCGGUGAAAUGCGCAAAGAUAUGGAGGAACACCAGUGGCGAAGGCGACUUUCUGGUCUGUAACUGACGCUGAUGUGCGAAAGCGUGGGGAUCAAACAAG